UACAGAGGGGGCAAGCGUUAUUCGGAAUUAUUGGGCGUAAAGGGCGCGUAGGCGGCUUGGCAAGUGGGUGGUGAAAUCCCUCGGCUUAACCGAGGAACUGCCGUCCAAACUGCUUCGCUUGAGACCAGGAGAGGUGAGUGGAAUUCCCAGUGUAGCGGUGAAAUGCGUAGAUAUUGGGAGGAACACCAGUGGCGAAGGCGGCUCACUGGACUGGUACUGACGCUGAUGCGCGAAAGCGUGGGGAGCAAACGGG
Molecule: ribosomal RNA, 253 nt
Filed under: uncultured bacterium
Lineage: Bacteria
Description: partial 16S ribosomal RNA
Rfam family: Bacterial small subunit ribosomal RNA
Source: RNAcentral